RNAcentral lists this ribosomal RNA (253 nucleotides) under uncultured bacterium. RNAcentral describes it as "partial 16S ribosomal RNA". It matches the Rfam family "Bacterial small subunit ribosomal RNA", at positions 524 to 776 of the family's 1533-position model. The record is from RNAcentral.
UACGAACUGUGCGAACGUUAUUCGGAAUCACUGGGCUUACAGGGUGCGUAGGCGGCCUGUUAAGUAGGGUGUGAAAGCCCCCGGCUCAACCGGGGAAUGGCGCCCUAAACUGGCGGGCUGGAGUGAGAUAGGGGUGUGUGGAACUUCCGGUGGAGCGGUGAAAUGUGUUGAUAUCGGAAGGAACGCCGGUGGCGAAAGCGACACACUGGAUCUUGUCUGACGCUGAGGCACGAAAGCCAGGGGAGCGAACGGG